UACGGCCAGAUUACAUUGAAACACCGGUUCUCGUACGACCACCGAAGUUAAGCAAUGUUGAGUUUGGUCAAUACCUAGAUGGGUGGCUGCUUGGAAAUAGUUGUUGU
This is a non-coding RNA of Acanthosepion pharaonis, 107 nucleotides long. The record is from the annotation of a GenBank genome assembly. Lineage: Eukaryota; Metazoa; Mollusca; Cephalopoda; Sepiida; Sepiidae.